This 1438-nucleotide ribosomal RNA is filed under the name uncultured Planctomycetota bacterium. RNAcentral's name for it is "uncultured planctomycete 16S ribosomal RNA". It matches the Rfam family "Bacterial small subunit ribosomal RNA". Lineage: Bacteria; Pseudomonadati; Planctomycetota. The record is from RNAcentral.
CAUGCAAGUCGAAUGAAUGCCAGUUGGGCAACUGACUGGAGGAAAUGGCGAAAGGGGCAGUAAUGUAUGGUCAAUCUCCCUUGGGGAUGGGGAUAGCCGUUCUAACGGACGGGUAAUACCCAGCGAUUCGAUAUGAGGACAUCCUUAUAUCGGGAAAUGAAUUUCGCCUCGAGAAGAGACCAUAUCGUAUUACCUAGUUGGUGAGGUAACGGCUCACCAAGGGGAAGAUGCGUAGCGGGUGUGAGAGCACGACCCGCGCCACUGGCACUGAGACACUGGCCAGACACCUACGGGUGGCUGCAGUCGAGGAUCUUCGUCAAUGGGCGAAAGCCUGAACGAGCGAUGCCGCGUGCGAGAUGAAGGCCUUCGGGUUGUAAAUCGCAAAAGAUAGAAGAAAGGCGUAAGUCGGAUUGACUAUCAGUAAGCUCGGGCUAAGUUCGUGCCAGCAGCCGCGGUAAGACGAACCGAGCGAACGUUGUUCGGAAUCACUGGGCUUAAAGGGCGCGUAGGCGGGUGAUCAAGUCCGUGGUGAAAUCCUCCAGCUCAACUGGAGAACUGCCUCGGAUACUGGUUGCCUCGAGGAAGGUAGGGGUGUGUGAAACGUUCAGUGGAGCGGUGAAAUGCAUUGAUAUUGAACGGAACUCCGGUGGCGAAGGCGACACACUGGACCUUUUCUGACGCUGAGGCGCGAAAGCUAGGGGAGCAAACGGGAUUAGAUACCCCGGUAGUCCUAGCCCUAAACGUUGGGUACUAGCUAGUAGUGUUCACAUGACUUUACUGGCGAAGCAAAAGUGCUAAGUACCCCGCCUGGGGAGUAUGGUCGCAAGGCUGAAACUCAAAGAAAUUGACGGGGGCUCACACAAGCGGUGGAGCAUGUGGCUUAAUUCGAGGCUACGCGAAGAACCUUAUCCUAGACUUGACAUGUGCGAAAGCGUCUGGGGGUAGUUGCCGGAAACGGUGGACGAACGUAUCCAAUCGUGAACCAGAUACAGGUGCUGCAUGGCUGUCGUCAGCUCGUGUCGUGAGAUGUCGGGUUAAGUCCCUUAACGAGCGAAACCCUUAUCCUUAGUUACUACUCCUAACGGAGAGGACUCUAGGGAGACUGCCGGUGUCAAACCGGAGGAAGGUGGGGAUGACGUCAAGUCCUCAUGGCCUUUACGUCUAGGGCUGCACACGUGCUACAAUGGCGUACACAAAGGGAAGCCAAGUCGCGAGACGGAGCAAAUCCCAAAAAAUACGCCCCAGUUCAGAUCGAAGGCUGCAACUCGCCUUCGUGAAGUUGGAAUCGCUAGUAAUCGCAGGUCAGCAACACUGCGGUGAAUGUGUUCCUGAGCCUUGUACACACCGCCCGUCAAGCCACGAAAGAGGGGAGUGCCCGAAGCCGCGAAAGCGUCGAAGGCAAAACCCUUGAUUGGGACUAAGUCGUAACAAGGUAACC